UCGCCGACGCCCGCUACAAGAACUUAAAGGAAUUGACGGGGGCCCGCACAAGCGGUGGAGUAUGUGGUUUAAUUCGAUGCAACGCGAAGAACCUUACCUAGGUUUGACAUCCGGAAAACCUUCCCGAAAAGGAAGGGUGCCCUUCGGGGAAUUCCGAGACAGGUGCUGCAUGGCUGUCGUCAGCUCGUGCCGUGAGGUGUUGGGUUAAGUCCCGCAACGAGCGCAACCCUAUUGCCAGUUGCUACCAGGUAAUGCUGGGCACUCUGGUGAGACUGCCCCGGUUAACGGGGAGGAAGGUGGGGACGACGUCAAGUCAUCAUGGCCCUUACGCCUAGGGCUACACACGUACUACAAUGGCGCAUACAAAGGGCAGCGAUACCGCGAGGUGGAGCCAAUCCCAAAAAGUGCGUCCCAGUCCGGAUUGCAGUCUGCAACUCGACUGCAUGAAGUUGGAAUCGCUAGUAAUUCGAGAUCAGCAUGCUCGGGUGAAUGCGUUCCCGGGCCUU
Molecule: ribosomal RNA, 506 nt
Filed under: uncultured Desulfovibrio sp.
Lineage: Bacteria; Pseudomonadati; Thermodesulfobacteriota; Desulfovibrionia; Desulfovibrionales; Desulfovibrionaceae
Description: bacterial SSU rRNA
Rfam family: Bacterial small subunit ribosomal RNA
Source: RNAcentral